GACAGAGGGUGCAAACGUUGUUCGGAAUUACUGGGCGUAAAGCGCGUGUAGGCGGCCAUCUAAGUCGGGCGUGAAAUCCCACGGCUCAACCGUGGAAGUGCACUCGAAACUGGAUGGCUAGAGUCCUGGAGAGGAAGGUGGAAUGCUUGGUGUAGAGGUGAAAUUCGUAGAUAUCAAGCGGAACACCGGUGGCGAAGGCGGCCUUACUGGACAGUGACUGACGCUGAGACGCGAAAGCGUGGGGAGCAAACAGG
RNAcentral lists this ribosomal RNA (254 nucleotides) under uncultured bacterium. RNAcentral's name for it is "partial 16S ribosomal RNA". It matches the Rfam family "Bacterial small subunit ribosomal RNA", at positions 524 to 776 of the family's 1533-position model. The record is from RNAcentral.